This 483-nucleotide ribosomal RNA is filed under the name uncultured bacterium. RNAcentral describes it as "partial 16S ribosomal RNA". It matches the Rfam family "Bacterial small subunit ribosomal RNA", at positions 28 to 507 of the family's 1533-position model. The record is from RNAcentral.
GAUGAACGCUGGCGGCGUGCCUAACACAUGCAAGUCGAACGGAGUCGUUUUGGCAAUCUCUUCGGAGAUGGAAUUCUCGACUUAGUGGCGGACGGGUGAGUAACGCGUGAGCAAUCUGCCUUUAAGAGGGGGAUAACAGUCGGAAACGGCUGCUAAUACCGCAUAAAGCAUUAAAUUCGCAUGUUUUUGAUGCCAAAGGAGCAAUCCGCUUUUAGAUGAGCUCGCGUCUGAUUAGCUAGUUGGCGGGGUAACGGCCCACCAAGGCGACGAUCAGUAGCCGGACUGAGAGGUUGAACGGCCACAUGGGGACUGAGACACGGCCCAGACUCCUACGGGAGGCAGCAGUGGGGAAUAUUGCGCAAUGGGGGAAACCCUGACGCAGCAACGCCGCGUGAUUGAAGAAGGCCUUCGGGUUGUAAAGAUCUUUAAUCAGGGACGAAACAAAUGACGGUACCUGAAGAAUAAGCUCCGGCUAACUACGUG